GUCCUGCAACGAGCGCAACCCUUUUCCUUAUUUGCCAGCGGGUUAAGCCGGGAACUUUAAGGAUACUGCCAGUGACAAACUGGAGGACGGCGGGGACGACGUCAAGUCAUCAUGGCCCUUACGACCAGGGCUACACACGUGCUCCAAUGGUCGGUACAAAGGGUUGCUACCUGGCGAUAGGAUGCUAAUCUAAAAAAGCCGUUCGU
This 206-nucleotide ribosomal RNA is filed under the name uncultured bacterium. Its description in RNAcentral is "partial 16S ribosomal RNA". It matches the Rfam family "Bacterial small subunit ribosomal RNA", at positions 1084 to 1289 of the family's 1533-position model. The record is from RNAcentral.